GACUAGUCAAUCAACACCGAUUGCUUGGUGACCAUAGCGAGCGUGAACCACCCGAUCCCAUCUCGAACUCGGAAGUGAAACCGUUUAGUGCCGAUGAUAGUGUGGAUUUA
Molecule: ribosomal RNA, 110 nt
Filed under: Bathymodiolus platifrons methanotrophic gill symbiont
Lineage: Bacteria; Pseudomonadati; Pseudomonadota; Gammaproteobacteria
Source: RNAcentral